Molecule: transfer RNA, 84 nt
Filed under: Nocardioides sp.
Lineage: Bacteria; Bacillati; Actinomycetota; Actinomycetes; Propionibacteriales; Nocardioidaceae
Description: tRNA-Leu
Source: RNAcentral
GCCCACCUGCUGGAACAGGUAGACAGACCCGGUCGAGGGCCGGGUGUCCUGCGGGACGUGAGGGUUCGACUCCCUCGGUGGGCA